GCGGUCGUAGCUCAGCUGGAUAGAGCGCGGGAUUCCUAAUCCCGGUGUCGCAGGUUCAAAUCCUGCCGAUCGCGCCA
Molecule: transfer RNA, 77 nt
Filed under: Holosporales bacterium
Lineage: Bacteria; Pseudomonadati; Pseudomonadota; Alphaproteobacteria; Holosporales
Description: tRNA-Arg
Rfam family: tRNA
About the family: Transfer RNA (tRNA) molecules are approximately 80 nucleotides in length. Their secondary structure includes four short double-helical elements and three loops (D, anti-codon, and T loops).
Source: RNAcentral